Molecule: long non-coding RNA, 488 nt
Filed under: Homo sapiens (human)
Lineage: Eukaryota; Metazoa; Chordata; Mammalia; Primates; Hominidae
Description: HSALNT0113460
Source: RNAcentral
CAUCAAUUUACGUUUACAAAAGAGUUUUUAAAAUACAAUCUCAUCUACUAACUACUACAAAACUACUGGAAAGAAACCUGACGGUUAAGCAGUCAAUUUACAAGUGAUUUGGAUUUCCUCACAAUUUACUGAACAAAGAAGAAAAUCUAAGAUAUAAAAAGGGUUUUCUACAGAAAUGAAUAAUAAACUGAAUUAAGAGAAUUGGAUUCCAGUUCUAGCUUCGUAACUACCUUGAGCAAGACACUGAAUUCAUGUGAACUUGAAGGCGCUUAUCCGUAAAAUGAUGAUCUUGGAGCAUCCAAGAAGUCCUUUCCGACUGUGUCACAGAUUCAAAGCUCUUCGUUCCCUGAAGUCCUGCUACUGUGACUUGGAACUCUCUGUUUCUAUGGUGUGCAGCACUCAGCACAAGUUUGUUGAAUGAACAAAUGAUCAAAUGACAUUUGCCCUUCCCUGCCUGACAUUCCAGUCACAUUCUUCCAUAACUUUGC